RNAcentral lists this ribosomal RNA (388 nucleotides) under uncultured bacterium. RNAcentral's name for it is "bacterial SSU rRNA". It matches the Rfam family "Bacterial small subunit ribosomal RNA", at positions 30 to 420 of the family's 1533-position model. The record is from RNAcentral.
AUUGAACGCUGGCGGCAUGCCUUACACAUGCAAGUCGAACGGUAACGGGCCUUCGGGUGCCGACGAGUGGCGAACGGGUGAGUAAUGCAUCGGAACGUACCUUUCAGUGGGGGAUAACGUAGCGAAAGUUACGCUAAUACCGCAUACUCUGUGAGCAGGAAAGCAGGGGAUCGCAAGACCUUGCGCUGAUUGAGCGGCCGAUGUCAGAUUAGCUAGUUGGUGAGGUAAAGGCUCACCAAGGCGACGAUCUGUAGCGGGUCUGAGAGGAUGAUCCGCCACACUGGAACUGAGACACGGUCCAGACUCCUACGGGAGGCAGCAGUGGGGAAUUUUGGACAAUGGGGGCAACCCUGAUCCAGCCAUGCCGCGUGAGUGAAGAAGGCCUUGG